CCCGACUGCUAUCAGAGUGGGACUAAGCCAUGCGAGUCAACGUAGCAAUAUGUGGCAUACGGCUCAGUAACACGUAGUCAACAUGCCCAGGGGACGUGGAUAACCUCGGGAAACUGAGGAUAAACCGCGAUAGGUCAUCACUUCUGGAAUGGGUAAUGACUUAAACCUAUAUGGCCCCUGGAUUGGACUGCGGCCGAUCAGGCUGUUGGUGAGGUAAUGGCCCACCAAACCUGUAACCGGUACGGGCUCUGAGAGGAGGAGCCCGGAGAUGGGCACUGAGACAAGGGCCCAGGCCCUAUGGGGCGCAGCAGGCGCGAAACCUCUGCAAUAGGCGAAAGCUUGACAGGGUUACUCUGAGUGAUUUCCGUUAAGGAGAUCUUUUGGUACCUCUAAAAAUGGUGCAGAAUAAGGGGUGGGCAAAUCUGGUGU
This 429-nucleotide ribosomal RNA is filed under the name uncultured archaeon. Its description in RNAcentral is "bacterial SSU rRNA". It matches the Rfam family "Archaeal small subunit ribosomal RNA", at positions 24 to 458 of the family's 1478-position model. The record is from RNAcentral.